This 616-nucleotide ribosomal RNA is filed under the name uncultured bacterium. Its description in RNAcentral is "bacterial SSU rRNA". It matches the Rfam family "Bacterial small subunit ribosomal RNA", at positions 338 to 947 of the family's 1533-position model. The record is from RNAcentral.
CCUACGGGAGGCAGCAGUGGGGAAUUUUGGACAAUGGGCGAAAGCCUGAUCCAGCAAUGCCGCGUGAGUGAAGAAGGCCUUCGGGUUGUAAAGCUCUUUUGUCAGGGAAGAAACGGUGCGGGCUAAUAUCCUGCACUAAUGACGGUACCUGAAGAAUAAGCACCGGCUAACUACGUGCCAGCAGCCGCGGUAAUACGUAGGGUGCAAGCGUUAAUCGGAAUUACUGGGCGUAAAGCGUGCGCAGGCGGUUUUGUAAGUCUGUCGUGAAAUCCCCGGGCUCAACCUGGGAAUUGCGAUGGAGACUGCAAGGCUAGAAUCUGGCAGAGGGGGGUAGAAUUCCACGUGUAGCAGUGAAAUGCGUAGAGAUGUGGAGGAACACCGAUGGCGAAGGCAGCCCCCUGGGUCAAGAUUGACGCUCAUGCACGAAAGCGUGGGGAGCAAACAGGAUUAGAUACCCUGGUAGUCCACGCCCUAAACGAUGUCUACUAGUUGUCGGGUUUUAAUUAACUUGGUAACGCAGCUAACGCGUGAAGUAGACCGCCUGGGGAGUACGGUCGCAAGNUUAAAACUCAAAGGAAUUGACGGNUGAGAGNGCGAGACGACGACGAGGGAGAGG